This 70-nucleotide transfer RNA is filed under the name Symbrenthia lilaea. RNAcentral's name for it is "tRNA-Lys". The record is from RNAcentral. Lineage: Eukaryota; Metazoa; Arthropoda; Insecta; Lepidoptera; Nymphalidae.
CAUUAGAUAUCUUAAGCAAGUAUUGGUCUCUUAAACCAUUUUAUGGUAAAUUAGCAAUUACCUCUAAUGA